GUGAGGAACCUGCCCCGAAGACCGGGACAACACCGGGAAACCGGUGCUAAUACCGGAUACCUUCACCGAAUCGCAUGGUCUGGUGAAGAAAUGGAUUCCGCUUCGGGAUGGCCUCGCGGCCUAUCAGCUUGUUGGUGAGGUAAUGGCUCACCAAGGCGACGACGGGUAGCUGGUCUGAGAGGAUGUCCAGCCACACUGGGACUGAGACACGGCCCAGACUCCUACGGGAGGCAGCAGUUAGGAAUCUUGCGCAAUGGGCGAAAGCCUGACGCAGCGACGCCGCGUGCGGGAUGAAGGCCUUCGGGUUGUAAACCGCUUUCAGCAGGGACGAAAUUGACGGUACCUGCAGAAGAAGCCCCGGCCAACUACGUGCCAGCAGCCGCGGUAAUACGUAGGGGGCAAGCGUUGUCCGGAUUUAUUGGGCGUAAAGAGCUCGUAGGUGGUUUGGUAAGUCGGAUGUGAAAUCUCCAGGCUCAACCCGGAGGGGUCAUUCGAUACUGCCAUGACUAGAGGUCGGUAGGGGAGUGUGGAAUU
RNAcentral lists this ribosomal RNA (534 nucleotides) under uncultured Acidimicrobiaceae bacterium. RNAcentral describes it as "bacterial SSU rRNA". It matches the Rfam family "Bacterial small subunit ribosomal RNA", at positions 117 to 668 of the family's 1533-position model. The record is from RNAcentral. Lineage: Bacteria; Bacillati; Actinomycetota; Acidimicrobiia; Acidimicrobiales; Acidimicrobiaceae.